This 66-nucleotide transfer RNA is filed under the name Caecilia volcani. RNAcentral's name for it is "tRNA-Ser". The record is from RNAcentral. Lineage: Eukaryota; Metazoa; Chordata; Amphibia; Gymnophiona; Caeciliidae.
AAGAGAGAACAAUUUAGUAAAAGUCGCUAACUUUGCCUAUUGAAGCUAAAUUCUUCAACCCUCUUU